GCCUACGGCCAUAUCACCCUGAGAACACUCAAACCCGUCUGAUCUUGGAAGCUAAGCAGGGUCGGGCCUGGUUAGUACUUAGAUGGGAAACCGCCUUGGAAUACCGGGUGCUAUAGGCU
Molecule: ribosomal RNA, 119 nt
Organism: Poecile atricapillus (Black-capped chickadee)
Lineage: Eukaryota; Metazoa; Chordata; Aves; Passeriformes; Paridae
Source: RefSeq, a predicted model, not a curated record